UUCCCUUUCCACCCGCAGGCUCUCGCUCGGUUCGGUGGCACCUAGAGGUGGCGGGCUGUGCAGGAGCCUCUCUCCUCCUCCUCGCCAGGCGGGCGGGCGGCGGCGGCGCAGCCUCAGCACCAGGCGCACGCGGGCCCUUUAAGAGCGACACCAGCCGAGCUGCAGUUUGACAUCAGCCGGCCGGCGAGGGCGCGCCUGGAGCCGGAGCACGUGCCAGGAUGUUUUAUUGCCGCCGCGGCUGCGGCCGGGGCCGGGAGGAUGUGUGUGUGCGUGCGUGUGUGAGUGUGUGUGCGCGCGCCCCGGGGGCAGAGAGGCGGGGGGCGGCGGCGGGCGGCGGAGCGCGGGGGCUGGUUCCUGGUCCCCAGGAGAAGCCAAGAAGAUUCCCUGCAGCCUGCCAGAGACGUGGUCGCUGCCCUGCCAAGAGCUAUCUGGGAGAGCUAUUGAAAGAGUCUUGAGACCCCAUCCAGGCUUCCACAGUGUAUUUAGUUAUCUCAUCUCCUUCAUCUGCUUCACUCUGUGGCAGCUCCACCAUCUUUCCUUGUCUUUCAUGACACUUUCAAGAGUCCUAGUCAGUUGUUUCAUAGAAUGUCCUCCACUGGGUCUGUCUGACAUUUCCUCGUGGCGAUAUUGAGGAGCUGCAUUAUUGGGAAGAACACCCAGACGUACCUGACGUUGUAUUUCACUGCCAUUAAACAUGAUCACAAGGUUAAGAUCGUUUCUCCAGGAUUGUCUAUGAUCAAGUUAUGACUUUUGUAUUUCCUAAAAGUUUUUUUGGGGUGUGCGUGUGUGAUAUUUCAAAGCAAUGCAAAUAUGCUAUUACGCUUGCACUUCUGCCUACUAAAUGUCUCAAAGGAUCUCACCUGUGGCAAUGAAUAUUGUGGCAAUCUAAAAGUCAUGUUAUUCCCCUCAUUCCUUCUACAUUUAUGAAUUGCAACUCUCCUUAAGGAGGAGUUGCAUGGUGUUACAUUGUGGUAAAGCAGAAAUAAAAAAUAACCCAUACUCUUGGAGCCUAAAUUUUAGAUGAAGAGAUAAACAAGCAAAAUAAAUAAGUGGAUUUGAUAGUAUAUUGAAUGGUGACAAGUACUGCAAAGAGAAAUCAAGGAAGGGAGGGGAGAUAGAAAGUGCCAGGAGGUGCAGAUUUAAAUUGCAUGGUUAGGGAAGGCCUUAGAAGACUUGAAGCAAAGGAGGGAGCCAGUGUGUGAAGCUUUCUCCAAAGAAGAAAUAGCAAGUACAAAGGCUCGGAGGCAGGACCGCAUCCAGCCUAAGUGCUCUAAGGAAGCCAGGCGGCCAGAGUGAUGGGUGCCAAGUGAGCAAAGUGGGAAGGGGAGUGAGAGAGAGCUGAUGCAGGCCUGGGGACAUUUUACUGACCUGGCUAUUGAUCUGAGGAAGGCAGGAGCCAUUGCAAGAUUUUGAGCAAAGAGGUCACAUGAUGUGACUUCAUAUUAUGAAAAAAUCUGCUCUGUGGUUGGCAAGGACAGAGGCAAGGAGACCCUGCUUAGGGAGCUAUGACAUCAUCCAGGUGAGAGAUGGAAGUGGGUUGGACCAGAAUGGUAGCAAAGAGGUGAUUGGAUUGUGCAUGUGUUUUGGCAGUAGAACUAACACUGCUAAGAAAGGUCUUCAGCAGCUUUGGCCACCUCUUGAACGCCCAGGGCAUCUAUCUUCUCUCUCCCACCUUGAAGUGGGGCUUCAGGAACACGAUUAAGAAGCACGGGCUGGCCACCUGGAGUCUAAGCUCUGCAGUCCCUCAUUGGAGCCUUCUUUAUCUGGGUCUACCUUCAUUUUCUCUGCACCCCCACUUCUCUCUGCCCCAGGCCCACCUCUGCCCAGACCAGCCCACCACCAUUUGCUCACAGUCUCCCACCCCUGCUCUGCCAAACAAGAUCCUUCCCCUCCUUUAAGGUUCAGCUUUGCCACCCCCAGCCCCUCUAGGAACACCUUCCCUCUUGGUUGUUGACACUAACUAGAGCAGCCGUGGGCAAACUACGGCCCGCGGGCCGCAUCCGGCCUGUUUGAAAUGAAUAAAA
This is a long non-coding RNA of Myotis myotis, 2024 nucleotides long. RefSeq lists it as uncharacterized. The record is from RefSeq and is a predicted model, not a curated record. The transcript has 3 exons. NCBI's taxonomy places the organism in Eukaryota, Metazoa, Chordata, Mammalia, Chiroptera, Vespertilionidae.